RNAcentral lists this unclassified non-coding RNA (769 nucleotides) under Athalia rosae (coleseed sawfly). RNAcentral describes it as "misc RNA ENSAEAG00005009926.1". The record is from RNAcentral. Lineage: Eukaryota; Metazoa; Arthropoda; Insecta; Hymenoptera; Athaliidae.
AUUAAUAUCAUAUUUUGUACGAGCGUUCAGUUAUAUUUGUGACCUCUCUAUCAUAGUUUGUUCAAAGUAACUAACUGAUAACAGUUAAACAUUUGAGAAAUAGAAGAAUCAAGAGGAGAAACAGCGGAGAAAUUCUUGAUAAGAAUGAAAAAUCAUUGCUCAUGGUGAUCCCGAGAACGAUCGGAAAGUUGCGAUGCGGUUGCUCGUGAAUAGUUAUAUUUGUCGUGAAGUUUUUACCUCUCAGAGAGGAUGGAAAACUAUCCGAGUGAUGAACGGACGUCGAAGGGAUUGGCGGAGGUAUGAAGAGAGGGAAAACUAACAGUAGUAAAUACACAUGUAUGUCAAUUUACAUACAUGUGUGUAGAUAUACUGGGAGGCGUGACAAAAUGAUCGAGAUGAAAUAUCAUGCACCAGAAGCAUAUAUAAAGUACGUUGAACUAUUCGAGGAAAAUUCAGUUUGGAAUGUAAAACUGAAUUAUACAGAACUACAAACGUAUUGAUAAAUAAUCCAUGGAUUUGACGUGAAUUUUUUGUUAGCGAAUUCAAAUUCAGAGAGUAGACUGCUGCCGUCUCUGCGAACCUGUUUAUAACUAAAUUCAUAAUUGCAAUAUCAAUUAGAACUGGAAAAUAUCGGGGCAGAGAAGUACAUGUUUUUGUUCACUAUUUUGCACAUCAGCAUUUUUGUACUUUCGAAAAAUGUAAUUCAGCGGCUUCAAAAUGGCGACUGUUAUAAUAAAAAAUAUAAUACAAUAUGAACCAAACUACACAA